Long non-coding RNA from Sphaerodactylus townsendi, 1455 nucleotides. RefSeq lists it as uncharacterized. Lineage: Eukaryota; Metazoa; Chordata; Lepidosauria; Squamata; Sphaerodactylidae. The transcript is spliced from 2 exons. The record is from RefSeq and is a predicted model, not a curated record.
UCUCUGAACUCUCUCAGCCCCACCUACCUCACAAUGUGUCUGUUGUAGGGAGAGGAAGGGACGGCCGCUUUGAGACAGGAGAGGAAGGUGAGGUAUAAAUCCAAACUCUUUUCUUCUGCUUCUGCUAGGGAGCAAUCUGUCAGUUACCCGUUUGCUGAAAAGUCUUCUGGGGGCGUGGUGGAAAACAGCAGCUGUGGGGAGCUGGGGCAAGAAAAGCGCCGUGAAAAUCGUUGUGAAGGUGGCUUCGUUGCUAGCGUGGAUACCUCUGCAUUCACAGCAGCAAGAGUUCCGCAGAGGAUUGUGGCUGUGUGGAAAUAGUCCACGUUGCCAGGCUUGCAAUGAAGCUGCUGAAAGCGCCGCCUUCCCCACCGCCAGCUCCUUCCUUUUCUUUUCUUGAAUUGUUCCCAUUUCUUGCCUUCUCCCUUGUUUGGUCAUCCCACACGCACUGUUGGGGGGAACUGGCGUGUGGCUAAUUCCCCGCAGGUUGAUGCAGCUGGUGGCAAAACCUAGACAUUCCAAGAGUGGGCACCAUAAAAGUCCGUGUAGAAAACUGGAGAGAUCCCAUGCGUGGAUUGUCCACCUGUGAUGAACUGUGUGUCUCUCGAUCACAACACUUGCAUGCAGCGACGUCAAUGUAGGAAACGUUUAUCUUCCCUGCACUCGACUUCUCCAGUUGGAGAAACUGUUCCCCAGUGAAGCACAGGUGUGUGGUGUGGGCCGUUCUCCGAAGAGAAGCACGCCGUCCGCUUGAGUCCGCUUCGCUGAUGUCUUGCCGUAUCAGUGUGCCACAAAAGGUGCUUCGUGCGCUUGAAACCAGCUCGGCAGGGGCCAGUGGUGGCCCAGAUGGGCCCGGUGGGAGUCCAGUGAGCCAUGAUGGGCUUUCCCUGGGGUGGAUCUUUGCUAACCUUAAUGGCCAGUCAAAAAAGCAUUUCAGAUAUGCAUACAUCAGCCCUAUUCUACUGCAUCCCUGAAUAUCAUUUAGCAUACAAAAAAAAGCAACUCGACAUAAAAAUGGCAGUGCUGUGGUCAGACCCAGGGGGAGCUUGGUUUUUUUUAGAACAGGGAGCUGCAGGCACCACGCCCCCAGAAGAGUUGCAGACCCCUGUUUUAGAAGGUGAGGCCUGAGCGGAGCCACACACAAGUAGCGCUGUGGGACGGGAUCGCUCUCCCCUUCCAGUCCACAAUGCUGGUUUCCACGCUUUUUAUAGUUGCGGGUCCCUCGGGCACACAACAGGGAAGGGGGCUAUCGAGGGAGUCCGUGAUCCUGAUGCAUCGUUAACCCUCCUGCAAAAAACAACAACACCUAUUUGUGAAAUGAACAUUGGACUUUUUUUAAAAAAAAUUAAACUUGGGGGAAAGUUGGCAAAACUGGAGGCUUGCUGGUUACUGUUUUUGAAACCUCAUACUUGUUCUUUAGACUAGUAUUGAUAUAUAAAACCUCUGACUUUAGCAAGG